GACGAACGUUGGCGGCGUGCUUAACACAUGCAAGUCGAACGGAAAGGCCCUGCUUUUGUGGGGUGCUCGAGUGGCGAACGGGUGAGUAACACGUGAGUAACCUGCCCUUGACUUUGGGAUAACUUCAGGAAACUGGGGCUAAUACCGGAUAGGAGCUCCUGCUGCAUGGUGGGGGUUGGAAAGUUUCGGCGGUUGGGGAUGGACUCGCGGCUUAUCAGCUUGUUGGUGGGGUAGUGGCUUACCAAGGCUUUGACGGGUAGCCGGCCUGAGAGGGUGACCGGCCACAUUGGGACUGAGAUACGGCCCAGACUCCUACGGGAGGCAGCAGUGGGGAAUAUUGCACAAUGGGCGGAAGCCUGAUGCAGCAACGCCGCGUGCGGGAUGACGGCCUUCGGGUUGUAAACCGCUUUCGCCUGUGACGAAGCGUGAGUGACGGUAAUGGGUAAAGAAGCACCGGCUAACUACGUGCCAGCAGCCGCGGUGAUACGUAGGGUGCGAGCGUUGUCCGGAUUUAUUGGGCGUAAAGGGCUCGUAGGUGGUUGAUCGCGUCGAAAGUGUAAUCUUGGGGCUUAACCCUGAGCGUGCUUUCGAUACGGGUUGACUUGAGGAAGGUAGGGGAGAAUGGAAUUCCUGGUGGAGCGGUGGAAUGCGCAGAUAUCAGGAGGAACACCAGUGGCGAAGGCGGUUCUCUGGGCCUUUCCUGACGCUGAGGAGCGAAAGCGUGGGGAGCGAACAGGCUUAGAUACCCUGGUAGUCCACGCUGUAAACGGUGGGUACUAGGUGUGGGGUCCAUUCCACGGGUUCCGUGCCGUAGCUAACGCUUUAAGUACCCCGCCUGGGGAGUACGGCCGCAAGGCUAAAACUCAAAGGAAUUGACGGGGCCCCGCACAAGCGGCGGAGCAUGCGGAUUAAUUCGAUGCAACGCGUAGAACCUUACCUGGGUUUGACAUGGAUCGGGAGUGCUCAGAGAUGGGUGUGCCUCUUUUGGGGUCGGUUCACAGGUGGUGCAUGCCUGUCGUCAGCUCGUGUCGUGAGAUGUUGGGUUAAGUCCCGCAACGAGCGCAACCCUUGUUCACUGUUGCCAGCACGUUAUGGUGGGGACUCAGUGGAGACCGCCGGGGUCAACUCGGAGGAAGGUGGGGAUGACGUCAAGUCCUCAUGCCCCUUAUGUCCAGGGCUUCACGCAUGCUACAAUGGCUGGUACAGAGAGUGGCGAGCCUGUGAGGGUGAGCGAAUCUCGGAAAGCCGGUCUCAGUUCGGAUUGGGGUCUGCAACUCGACCUCAUGAAGUCGGAGUCGCUAGUAAUCGCAGAUCAGCAACGCUGCGGUGAAUACGUUCCCGGGGCU
Molecule: ribosomal RNA, 1346 nt
Filed under: uncultured bacterium
Lineage: Bacteria
Description: bacterial SSU rRNA
Rfam family: Bacterial small subunit ribosomal RNA
Source: RNAcentral